UUAUGGCCAUAUCAUGGUGAAAUACCAGUUCCCAUACGAUCAAUGAAGUUAAGUAACAUUGAUCCUGAUCAGUACCUAAAUGGGUGACAGCUUUGGAUGUGCAGGUGAUGUA
Non-coding RNA from Acanthosepion pharaonis, 112 nucleotides. NCBI's taxonomy places the organism in Eukaryota, Metazoa, Mollusca, Cephalopoda, Sepiida, Sepiidae. The record is from the annotation of a GenBank genome assembly.